CUCCACCGUUUUCAUCCAGGUAAAAUCAGAUCCAUGUGGGGAAUGGAGGGGAAGGAGAAUCGUAAAAGGCCAAGUGAAGUCUGAGGGCCAGAGGACGCAGGGGAAGGGAGUCUAUAGACCCACACGUCUGCUUGUUUAUUAUAAAGUCAUCCACGACAUGCCUCUGACAUGCCAGGCCUCGUACACAGUCCCAGGAUGCAGUGUGAACCACGGCAAAGCCCUCCACUCCCCAGGACAGUCCUUAAGUCUCGAAGACAGACAUGCAGGUAAGAAAGACUCAGAAAAGGGAGAGAAGACGGAGCCUGUCAUGACACAGAGCCUCAGCAGAGGAUGGUCUCCAGCGUCAGGCACUGAUGACAUUCGCUGAGCCACAGCCCAUGCCUAGAAGGUUUCCGAUGUUCAUAUAGACCACAGACCUUCUCCAGAAGUCACCACCAACAGGGGCUACAAGAUCACUGACAAAGAAAUAUAUCAGAGUGCCAUUCUAACAAAAUAGAUUCUUAACAAAACACGCUGUGACAGAGGCAGAGUAAUUGUAAGAAGGGCAUUGCAGGAAUAAUUUUAUUGCCUCUGUACUGCUCCCCCCCAAGAAAACCGCACGUGUCUGUGAAUAUCUUUGCAACUUCCUAUAUAAUUCUAGUAAUUCUAAUAUAAAUAUUUAAUAGACUGUGCAGGUCAUUGGAAAUCUUCAAAUUCCAGUUAAUUUGGAUACUGUACUAAACAUGAUUACUGUCCAUGUGGCUUAGGCUUCAAGGGAGAAAAUUAAAUAAUGGGAUGUCAUUUGAUAUGGUCUGGCUGUGUCCCCACCCAAAUCUCAUCUUGAAUUGUAGCUCCCAUAAUUCCCACAUGUCAUGGGAGGACUCAGUGGGAGGUAAUUGAAUCAUGGGGGUGGGUCUUUCCCAGGCUGUUCUUGUGAUAGUGAAUAAAUCUCAUGAGAUCUGAUGGUUUUAUAAACGGGAGUUCCCCUGCACAAGCUCUCUUGCCUGCCACCAUGUAAAACGUGACUUUGCUCCUCUUUUGCCUUGUGCCAUGAGUGUGAGGCCUCCCCAGCCAUGUGGAGCUGAGUCCAUUAAAUCUCUUUCCUUUAUAAAUUACCCAGUCUUGGGUACGUUUUUAUUAGCAGCAUGAGAACAGACUAAUACAUUGUGUAUAUAAAGAAUAUCAAACGUGUGAUAAGAAUGCAUUUGAUUAGUUGAAGAGAGAGCUCCUGGUGUUGGUUCAGUGAGCAGUGCUGCUGACCUGCAGCCUCGGGGGGCCCAGGGAGAGAACAGGCCUUUCUGCCUCUGGGUGUCCCACAGACCUCAGCACCUACCCCAUGCCCAGCCUGGACCCUGCAACUCAGUCAGGACCCUGCUUAUCAAUCCUGGGCACUUGCUAAGUUUUCUCUUCAGCUGCAUGCAGUGCACAGUUAAUUACUAAGAUGAGAAAAUGCCCCUUUCCAUGGAAAUUAUGGAAAUGCUAUCAGACGUUAAGGAUUAAUGAGUAUGAACAGGUGUGAGAUUAGAUGCAGCUGAAAAGAACUCGGCAUGGUGGCUGGCUGCUUGUUACAGUCAUUGUUAAAGCUGCCAAAACAAAACAAGAAAUUCUAUUGCUCAGGUG
This 1599-nucleotide long non-coding RNA is filed under the name Pan paniscus (pygmy chimpanzee). RNAcentral's name for it is "lncRNA (ENSPPAG00000044777.1)". The record is from RNAcentral. Lineage: Eukaryota; Metazoa; Chordata; Mammalia; Primates; Hominidae.